AUACGUAGGGAGCGAGCGUUGUCCGGAAUUACUGGGUGUAAAGGGAGCGUAGGCGGGAAGGCAAGUUGGAUGUGAAAACUGUGGGCUCAACCGACAGACUGCAUUCAAAACUGUUUUUCUUGAGUGAAGUAGAGGCAAGCGGAAUUCCUAGUGUAGCGGUGAAAUGCGUAGAUAUUAGGAGGAACACCAGUGGCGAAGGCGGCUUGCUGGGCUUUGACUGACGCUGAGGCUCGAAAGUGUGGGGAGCAAACAGGAUUAGAUACCCUGGUAGUCCACACCGUAAGCGAUGAUUACUAGGUGUGGGGGCGGCAAGCUUCCGUGCCGGAUUUAACACAAUAAGUAAUCCCCCUGGGGAGUACGGCCGCAUGGUUGAAACUCAAAUGAAUUGACGGGG
This 394-nucleotide ribosomal RNA is filed under the name uncultured bacterium. RNAcentral describes it as "partial 16S ribosomal RNA". It matches the Rfam family "Bacterial small subunit ribosomal RNA", at positions 523 to 918 of the family's 1533-position model. The record is from RNAcentral.